GAGGAGUACUAAGAGUGGGCAUCCUUGUUCCCAUUCUCAGAGGGAAUGCUUUCAACUUUUCCCCAUUCAGUAUUAUGUUGGCUUUGGGUUUGUCAUAGAUGGCUUUUGUUACAUUAAGACUGGAAGAGAAUGGCCCAGAUCCUCUGGACUCCUCAGAUGAGCGGAUUCAGAGAGAAGCUUUUGAGAGCGUGCUGGCAGAGACAUUUUUCACAAAAGAGCCCUUGCGGUGCUGGUGUCCAUGGCGUGCCUGGGAAGGCCCACCAACGCGGGCCGGCCUCCAAGCACCCAGGCCUCUGCUCACGUACAGCUCCUGAACUGCCCUGCCUCUGAGUUACUGUGGAAAACGAGCUUAUAUAUGAAGAAGUCAGCGAGUGGACAAAGCCAGGCGCAAUGGAUAGCAAAGAUGUGGAAGUCUCCUCGAUUCAAGUUAGAAGAAAACCACAGCAUGGAGUCUGCUCUCAGCUGUUGGGGAAUUACUGAUGCCUUUGACUAAGUCAAGACUGACUUUUCCAGAAUAUCACCCAAGAGAUAAAGCCGUCCCUGUCCAAGUUUGUGCGCUAGCCCUUCAUGGAGGUCAGAGAGGAAGAAACAAAGGCAGCUGUGGCCUUGGCGGUCACAGUGUCAGAACGCACAAGCCCCAUAAAGAGGUUUCACGCAGGCCACCCAUCCCUUUUCAUUCUCCAGCAGAACAGGACAGAGAGCGUUCUGUUCUGCGGAAGGUCUUCCACUCUACAAGGCAAUCCCUCCAGCUGCUUUGCUGUAUUGUGCUGUCUCCUGUCACACUGAAUGCAGUGACCUCAGCCAGCAGCAGGGAGAACCCCCCUGCCUCCCGAACAAAGGACCUCACGUGAAAUCCUGAGCUCAGAGCUUACAGAUAUGUGUGUGCUUUCACUUUACAUCGGCCGUGACUUUCAAACAACUUCAGGAAACUUUAGGAUCUCUGAGGUACACUGGAGAUUACAGCAGCGUAGAAUGUUCUUUUGGAUUUAGAACAGAAAUGCUUAUUUUAUAUUUGGCUGCUCCCAAACUGUCCCCAGACCUCCUCUCCAGUGGUUACCCUCCACUGCCCUGGAUGUCCCACAUUCACACUCACACCUCCACCCUAACAAAGUCCUCCACUGGGUCAAACCAUACAUCGCUUCGUCUCUGUAGUGACGACUUCCUGUCCUCUGCUCUGUGGAUAAAGACCCCAGAUAAAGAUGCCUGUGUUGCUCAACUCUUGUAAAUACUCUUGAGACAUUCUGAAAGCAGAAGGAAAGGAGACAGACGAUGUGGGAAAAUAAAAGGGAUGGUCUGUGCGGAAACGUUUUGAGAAUGCCCUUCCCUAAGAGAGAACAGUAAAAGUGAACAAUACUUCCUGA
This 1361-nucleotide long non-coding RNA is filed under the name Pan troglodytes (chimpanzee). Its description in RNAcentral is "lincRNA". Lineage: Eukaryota; Metazoa; Chordata; Mammalia; Primates; Hominidae. The record is from RNAcentral.